GGAAUAUUGGACAAUGGGGGCAACCCUGAUCCAGCAAUGCCGCGUGUGUGAAGAAGGUCUUCGGAUUGUAAAGCACUUUCGACGGGGACGAUGAUGACGGUACCCGUAGAAGAAGCCCCGGCUAACUUCGUGCCAGCAGCCGCGGUAAUACGAAGGGGGCUAGCGUUGCUCGGAAUGACUGGGCGUAAAGGGCGUGUAGGCGGUUUACACAGUCAGAUGUGAAAUCCCCGGGCUUAACCUGGGAGCUGCAUUUGAUACGUGUAGACUAGAGUGUGAGAGAGGGUUGUGGAAUUCCCAGUGUAGAGGUGAAAUUCG
RNAcentral lists this ribosomal RNA (315 nucleotides) under uncultured bacterium. Its description in RNAcentral is "partial 16S ribosomal RNA". It matches the Rfam family "Bacterial small subunit ribosomal RNA", at positions 358 to 690 of the family's 1533-position model. The record is from RNAcentral.